GCCUCAGUGGUGUAGUGGUGGAGCACGCGACCCCGGAUAGGAUAUGUAAACGUGGGUUUCGAUUCCCGCCUGAGUCG
This is a non-coding RNA of Parelaphostrongylus tenuis, 77 nucleotides long. Lineage: Eukaryota; Metazoa; Nematoda; Chromadorea; Rhabditida; Metastrongylidae. The record is from the annotation of a GenBank genome assembly.